Molecule: ribosomal RNA, 654 nt
Filed under: uncultured bacterium
Lineage: Bacteria
Description: bacterial SSU rRNA
Rfam family: Bacterial small subunit ribosomal RNA
Source: RNAcentral
AUUGAACGCUGGCGGCAGGCCUAACACCUGCAAGUCGAGCGGUAGCACAGGAGAGCUUGCUCUCCGGGUGACGAGCGGCGGACGGGUGAGUAAUGUCUGGGAAACUGCCUGAUGGAGGGGGAUAACUACUGGAAACGGUAGCUAAUACCGCAUAACGUCUUCGGACCAAAGUGGGGGACCUUCGGGCCUCACGCCAUCAGAUGUGCCCAGAUGGGAUUAGCUAGUAGGUGGGGUAAUGGCUCACCUAGGCGACGAUCCCUAGCUGGUCUGAGAGGAUGACCAGCCACACUGGAACUGAGACACGGUCCAGACUCCUACGGGAGGCAGCAGUGGGGAAUAUUGCACAAUGGGCGCAAGCCUGAUGCAGCCAUGCCGCGUGUGUGAAGAAGGCCUUCGGGUUGUAAAGCACUUUCAGCGAGGAGGAAGGGUGGUGUGUUAAUACGCGCAUCACAUUGACGUUACUCGCGGAAGAAGCACCGGCUAACUCCGUGCCAGCAGCCGCGGUAAUACGGAGGGUGCAAGCGUUAAUCGGAAUUACUGGGCGUAAAGCGCACGCAGGCGGUUUGUUAAGUCAGAUGUGAAAUCCCCGCGCUUAACGUGGGAACUGCAUUUGAAACUGGCAAGCUAGAGUCUUGUAGAGGGGGGUAGAAUUUC